RNAcentral lists this ribosomal RNA (473 nucleotides) under uncultured bacterium. RNAcentral's name for it is "partial 16S ribosomal RNA". It matches the Rfam family "Bacterial small subunit ribosomal RNA", at positions 338 to 795 of the family's 1533-position model. The record is from RNAcentral.
CCUACGGGGGGCAGCAGUGAGGAAUAUUGGUCAAUGGGCGGGAGCCUGAACCAGCCAAGCCGCGUGAGGGAAGAAGGUACAGCGUAUCGUAAACCUCUUUUGUCAGGGAACAAAGGCGGGGAGCCAUGCCGGGCCCGCGUGCCCGGAGGGAGAGUACCCGCAGAAUAAGCAUCGGCUAACUCCGUGCCAGCAGCCGCGGUAAUACGGAGGAUGCGAGCGUUAUCCGGAUUUAUUGGGUUUAAAGGGUGCGUAGGCGGAUUUUUAAGUCAGCGGUAAAAUGUCCGGGCUCAACCCGGGCCGGCCGUUGAAACUGGGGAUCUUGAGUGGGCGAGAAGUAGGCGGAAUGCGUGGUGUAGCGGUGAAAUGCAUAGAUAUCACGCAGAACUCCGAUUGCGAAGGCAGCAUACCGGCGCCCGACUGACGCUGAGGCACGAAAGCGUGGGGAUCGAACAGGAUUAGAUACCCUUGUAGUC